This 23-nucleotide microRNA is filed under the name Bos taurus (domestic cattle). RNAcentral describes it as "bta-miR-2285cs". The record is from miRBase by way of RNAcentral. Lineage: Eukaryota; Metazoa; Chordata; Mammalia; Artiodactyla; Bovidae.
AAAACCCUGAAUGAACUUUUUGA